UCACAGCUGACUUGAUACCAGCACUGAGGCCUGACCUCUCGAUCCUUCAGCACUUCAGAGGUUAAUUUUGUUGGGGGAUCGGAUUUCUUUCCUGGCCUGGGGAAUGGUGAUCCCUGCUAGCUAGUCCUUUAGUUACAGAGUUGCUGGGUGCCUGGGAUUCCCUGGCCCAGUGUGGGCUGGCUCAGCUGGCUAAAGGACUUGCCAUCCUGUGAGAUUCAUUCAGCUUCUUUGUCCGCUGUUCUCCAAGGGCCGCAAUGUAGUGAAAUGCUCUGGCCUAGGAACCUUACAAG
This 290-nucleotide long non-coding RNA is filed under the name Homo sapiens (human). RNAcentral describes it as "long non-coding RNA NONHSAT018356". The record is from RNAcentral. Lineage: Eukaryota; Metazoa; Chordata; Mammalia; Primates; Hominidae.